Molecule: ribosomal RNA, 1439 nt
Filed under: uncultured Bordetella sp.
Lineage: Bacteria; Pseudomonadati; Pseudomonadota; Betaproteobacteria; Burkholderiales; Alcaligenaceae
Description: partial 16S-23S ribosomal RNA intergenic spacer
Rfam family: Bacterial small subunit ribosomal RNA
Source: RNAcentral
AGUUUGAUCCUGGCUCAGAUUGAACGCUGGCGGGAUGCUUUACACAUGCAAGUCGAACGGCAGCACGGACUUCGGUCUGGUGGCGAGUGGCGAACGGUGAGUAAUGUAUCGAACGCGCCUAGUAGCGGGGAUACUACAAAGCGUGUUUAAUACCGCAUACCACCCUUCGGGGGAAAGCGGGGACCUGGGCCUCGCACUAUUAGAGCGCCUGAUAUCGGAUUAGCUAGUUGGUGGGGUAACGGCUCAACAAGGCGACGAUCCAGCUGGUUUGAGGACGACCAGCCACACUGGGACUGAGACACGGCCCAGACUCCUACGGGAGGCAGCAGUGGGGAAUUUUGGACAAUGGGGGGAAACCCUGGAUCCAGCCAUCCCGCGUGUGCGAUGAAGGCCUUCGGGUUGUAAAGCACUUGGCAGGAAAGAAACGGCACGGAUACCCCGUGCAACUGACGGUACCUGCAGAAUAAGCACUGGCUAACUACGCCAGCAGCCGCGGUACGGUGGUGUGUUAAUCGGAAUGAUUGGGCGUAAAGCGUGCGCAGGCGGUUCGAAAAGAAAGAUGUGAAAUCCCAGAGCUUAACUCUUUGGAACUGCAUUUUUAACUACCGAGCUAGAGUGUCAGAGGGAGGUGGAAUUCGCGUGUAGCAGUGAAAUGCGUAGAUAUGCGAGAACAACGAUGGAAGCAGCUCUCUGGGAUAAUAAUUGACGCCUGCGCACGAAAGCGUGGGGAGCAACAGGAUUAGAUACCCUGUAGUCCACGCCUAAACGAUAACAACUAGCUGUUGGGGGCCUUCGGCUCUGGUAGCGCAGCUAACGCGUGGAGUUGACCGCCUGGGAGUACGGUCGCAAGAUUAAAACUCAAAGGAAUUGACGGGGACCCGCACAAGCGGUGGAUGUGAUGUGGACAAUUGAUGCAACGCGAAAAACCUUACCUACCCUUGACAUGUCUGGAAUCCCGAAGAGAUUUGGGAGUGCUCGCAAGAGAACCGGAACACAGGUGCUGCAUGGCUGUCGUCAGCUCGUGUCGUGAGAUGUUGGGUUAAGUCCCGCAACGAGCGCAACCCUUGUCAUUAGUUGCUACGAAAGGGCACUCUAAUGAGACUGCCGGUGACAAACCGGAGGAAGGUGGGGAUGACGUCGUCCUCAUGGCCCUUAUGGGUAGGGCUUCACACGUCAUACAAUGGUCGGGAUGGAGGGUCGCUAACCCAUGAGGGGGGCAUAAUCCCAGAAACCUGAUCGUAGUCCGGAUCGCAGUUCGCAACUCGACUGCGUACGGACCAGUAAUCGCGGAUCAGCAUGUCGCGGUGAAUACGUUCCCGGGUCUUGUACACGCCGCCCGUCACACCAUGGAGUGGUUUUACCAGAAGCAGUUAUAAUAAUCAAGGGGAGGGCGAUUACCACGGUAGGAUUCAUGACUGGGGUGAAGUCGUAACAAGGUA